AAGGGCAGUCAGACUGCCUCAGACACAACCCCCAGAAGUCUUCUGAAGCAGCUGUUCAUGUGCUGACACAAGUCAGCCAACUCACAGAGGCGCGCCAAGUACCUAUGAAAAGUAAGACCAGGAGAGGGCCAGGCAGCAGGGUUUUCAAAGAGUUACGGCACAGUGGCUUCUUUCUGAAGGCUAGACUUCUGAGAAUUGCUCCAAGUUUGCAGAAUGAGAUGGGAAACCAUGAAAGACCCACACAGCUAUGUUGCGGAUUCUUAGGAACAAGAAUCCUGUACUGGAGGAGGCAGCAAAAGGUCAGCUCAAAAGGAAAACGAGACCAGCUUGGUAACCCCUGAGAAGGCUCUGUGCAUGUGGUCUUGUGUACACAAACAGACAUGAAGCCUGAGAGCAAAGCUGAGAAAUACAAUCACUGUAGUUUCUGGA
This 429-nucleotide long non-coding RNA is filed under the name Mus pahari (shrew mouse). RNAcentral's name for it is "lncRNA (MGP_PahariEiJ_G0002491.1)". Lineage: Eukaryota; Metazoa; Chordata; Mammalia; Rodentia; Muridae. The record is from RNAcentral.